GGUAGGGGUUCGGGUACUACAAGUUGUAGGGGGUCUACGGUGAGGCCAAGUUUAGACACGAACAAUCUUUUAAAGUUGUUCUACGGUUUGGAUUCGUUGAAACUCGAGCUUAAUCGAUUGGAAAUUGAAGUCACAGGUGAUUAAUGCAAAAUGAUUUAUUAUGAUCGAGAACCGAGUGAAUCACAAUCUUAGAUAGAUCUUAAAUUAAAUGUCUACAUAAGAAAAAAAUGAUUGAAAACUAUAACUUUAAUGUCAUUGUGGGUUAACUGCU
Molecule: long non-coding RNA, 271 nt
Filed under: Helianthus annuus (common sunflower)
Lineage: Eukaryota; Viridiplantae; Streptophyta; Magnoliopsida; Asterales; Asteraceae
Description: sRNA HanXRQr2_Chr03g0098991
Source: RNAcentral